Molecule: ribosomal RNA, 909 nt
Filed under: uncultured bacterium
Lineage: Bacteria
Description: bacterial SSU rRNA
Rfam family: Bacterial small subunit ribosomal RNA
Source: RNAcentral
ACGCUGGCGGCGUGCCUAAUACAUGCAAGUCGAGCGAGCUGAAUUCAAAGAUCCCUUCGGGGUGAUUUGUUGGAUGCUAGCGGCGGAUGGGUGAGUAACACGUGGGCAAUCUGCCCUAAAGACUGGGAUACCACUUGGAAACAGGUGCUAAUACCGGAUAACAACACGAAUCGCAUGAUUCAAGUUUGAAAGGCGGCGCAAGCUGUCACUUUAGGAUGAGCCCGCGGCGCAUUAGCUAGUUGGUGGGGUAAAGGCCUACCAAGGCAAUGAUGCGUAGCCGAGUUGAGAGACUGAUCGGCCACAUUGGGACUGAGACACGGCCCAAACUCCUACGGGAGGCAGCAGUAGGGAAUCUUCCACAAUGGACGCAAGUCUGAUGGAGCAACGCCGCGUGAGUGAAGAAGGUUUUCGGAUCGUAAAGCUCUGUUGUUGGUGAAGAAGGAUAGAGGCAGUAACUGGUCUUUAUUUGACGGUAAUCAACCAGAAAGUCACGGCUAACUACGUGCCAGCAGCCGCGGUAAUACGUAGGUGGCAAGCGUUGUCCGGAUUUAUUGGGCGUAAAGCGAGCGCAGGCGGAAUGAUAAGUCUGAUGUGAAAGCCCACGGCUCAACCGUGGAACUGCAUCGGAAACUGUCAUUCUUGAGUGCAGAAGAGGAGAGUGGAACUCCAUGUGUAGCGGUGGAAUGCGUAGAUAUAUGGAAGAACACCAGUGGCGAAGGCGGCUCUCUGGUCUGCAACUGACGCUGAGGCUCGAAAGCAUGGGUAGCGAACAGGAUAGAUACCCUGGUAGUCCAUGCCGUAAAGGAUGAGCGCUAGGUGUUGGGGACUUUCCGGUCCUCAGUGCCGCAGCAAACGCAUUAAGCGCUCCGCCUGGGGAGUACGACCGCAAGGUUGAAACUCAAAGGAAUU